RNAcentral lists this ribosomal RNA (899 nucleotides) under uncultured bacterium. Its description in RNAcentral is "bacterial SSU rRNA". It matches the Rfam family "Bacterial small subunit ribosomal RNA", at positions 1 to 869 of the family's 1533-position model. The record is from RNAcentral.
AGCCGGCCGCGUAUUCGCCCUCUGGUCCAGACUUUGAUCCUGGCUCAGGAUGAACGCUAGCUACAGGCUUAACACAUGCAAGUCGAGGGGAAACGACAUCGAAAGCUUGCUUUUGAUGGGCGUCGACCGGCGCACGGGUGAGUAACGCGUAUCCAACCUGCCCAUCACUUGGGGAUAACCUUGCGAAAGUAAGACUAAUACCCAAUGAUAUCUCUAGAAGACAUCUGAAAGAGAUUAAAGAUUUAUCGGUGAUGGAUGGGGAUGCGUCUGAUUAGCUUGUUGGCGGGGUAACGGCCCACCAAGGCGACGAUCAGUAGGGGUUCUGAGAGGAAGGUCCCCCACAUUGGAACUGAGACACGGUCCAAACUCCUACGGGAGGCAGCAGUGAGGAAUAUUGGUCAAUGGACGAGAGUCUGAACCAGCCAAGUAGCGUGCAGGAUGACGGCCCUAUGGGUUGUAAACUGCUUUUAUAAGGGAAUAAAGUGAGUCUCGUGAGACUUUUUGCAUGUACCUUAUGAAUAAGGACCGGCUAAUUCCGUGCCAGCAGCCGCGGUAAUACGGAAGGUCCGGGCGUUAUCCGGAUUUAUUGGGUUUAAAGGGAGCGUAGGCCGGAGAUUAAGCGUGUUGUGAAAUGUAGACGCUCAACGUCUGCACUGCAGCGCGAACUGGUUUCCUUGAGUACGCACAAAGUGGGCGGAAUUCGUGGUGUAGCGGUGAAAUGCUUAGAUAUCACGAAGAACUCCGAUUGCGAAGGCAGCUCACUGGAGCGCAACUGACGCUGAAGCUCGAAAGUGCGGGUAUCGAACAGGAUUAGAUACCCUGGUAGUCCGCACGGUAAACGAUGGAUGCCCGCUGUUGGUCUGAAUAGGUCAGCGGCCAAGCGAAAGCAUUAAGCAUCC